UACAAUUCUAUCAGUUGAUCGGAGAGAGGAGGUAGGUGGUCAGGAGCUUGGCUCUCAAUAUUGUAAGGUUGUCGUGAACUAUGUAAUAAAAAGGGAUGCUAUUCUGCCUCGUGGUGUUGGGGACAUGACAACCAUGGGGCAAGCUCAAGGGCGAUGUAUCGCAUGGCCUUACAAGCAUUUGGAAGUGGACAAGUCAAUGGCAAAUGCAGCAAUGCGACCAUAAGCAAGCUGAGGAGGUUUCCCAAACAUACACAGCAAGUUUG
Non-coding RNA from Triticum urartu, 263 nucleotides. The record is from RefSeq and is a predicted model, not a curated record. Lineage: Eukaryota; Viridiplantae; Streptophyta; Magnoliopsida; Poales; Poaceae.